GAUGAAGAACGCAGGGAAAUGCGAUAAGUAGUGUGAAUUGCAGAAUUCAGUGAAUCAUCGAAUCUUUGAACGCACAUUGCGCCCUUUGGUAUUCCUUAGGGCAUGCCUGUUCGAGCGUCAUUUAAACCUUCAAGCUAAGCUUGGUGUUGGGUGACUGUCCGCUUCACGGCGGACUCGCCUCAAAAUUAUUGGCGGCCGGUACAUUGGCUUCGAGCGCAGCAGAAACGCGAACUCGGGCCCGUCGUAUUGGCUCCCAGAAGCUAUCUUCACAAUUUUGACCUCGGAUCAGGUAGGGAUACCCGCUGAACUUAAGCAUAUCAAUAAGCGGAGGA
This 332-nucleotide unclassified non-coding RNA is filed under the name soil metagenome. Its description in RNAcentral is "partial contains 5.8S ribosomal RNA, internal transcribed spacer 2, and large subunit ribosomal RNA". The stretch from base 1 to 120 matches the Rfam family "5.8S ribosomal RNA", at positions 35 to 154 of the family's 154-position model. The record is from RNAcentral.